CUGGGUCAGUAGCUCCUCUCCAGAGUGAGUCCAUCAGUGGAAUGCCAUGCCCCUUCUCUAUCCCGUCUUUGCAAGUGGGCUUGGGUUCUUGGGAUGAGUUUCAUCAGGCCUUAUACAUGCAGACUGUGAAGAGGUGCCUCCAACAAGAAAAACCAAUGUCUGGCAAGUCCUCUAAGGGCAGGGAUUCUGGAGAGGCCGCCCUAUCCUCAGCUUGGCCCUGGCACAUUCUGGCUGCAGAGAAAAUACUGACUGUGAAGAGCCGAGAAAGAUGACAUGAUGAAGCCAUCAGGGGAGGCACCAAACAUCCUCAACUCUGCUUACCUAUGGUUUUCUCCAGCCCUCCCAGAGCUCCUCCUGCGUGAGUAAUGCAGUGUGUGCUGGUCAAGUGUCUCACUGAAAAAAGAAAGAAACCCUGAUUUGCAGCAUUGGCCAAUUCCUGUAGUGUAAAUACUCCCACCAUGGCAGAUUUCAGGUUACCAAGGGUUUCACAACUGGUUCACAAGUCUUGACUGUAAUGACCAGCUCAUGCAACUCCAGCACCUCAUCAUCUCCGCCCUGUCCCAGAAAAUCCCCACAUCACACCCAGGCUGAAUGUCACUUUCAGCUUCUCAGUCAGAAGGAGAAGUGGUUAAAUAUACCAGGAUGCUAAUGACUAAGUAUCAGAAUGGUGAGUGUGGAGGGUCAGGAUGUCUGCCAAAUUGGAGAUGACUCUUCACUUCUCAAUCUUGGUGUCUCAUCUGGGGAAGUUGGAGGGAGACAUGCACAGCUUCUCAUGAACAGUCCUGGAAGCCCUUACCCCAAGGCCUCACGGGGCUCUCUCCAGGGCUUGCUCUUUCUCACUCUCUACUUUAAAAGCCUAUGAUUCAUUGCCAGAGAACAGAAGGCUCCAUCCUAAUGGGCCAAGUUGAAAACGGCGGGAUUGGGAGCUGUCUAGACUCUAGGUCCUGCCUUUUGUUUUGGCUGGUGUCAAAAUGGACUCUAGAAACUGGCCUCAGGAAGAUUUCCCAUCGAACAACCAAAGACUGAACAGCCUGGACUGACCUUUUUCUAAUUUUUAGGGGUCUUGUGAACAAGAGUCAGGUGGGCAGACAGCUCUUGUAAAGCUAAGUGUAACUAAAUUUGUCCAUAGCCUGUGACAGCAAAGAUCACAAAACUCUUCCUUCCCCUUUAGGGCCUGGGAGUGACGCCAAGUGACGCCGAACUGAGGGGAGAAUGGUGACCUAUUUUAUCUCCCAAACAUUGGGCAGUCAGUUGCAUUUGCAGAUUUAAAAUCCACCCACUCUGCUGCAGUUUCUGUUCUCGUGCCCCCCAGGCAUACUUAUGGCUGGAGCUGGUUUUGUAAAGUGGAGUUGGCCGUGGGUGUGGGAGUCCUCCUCGGACAGCCUGGUCUGACAGCCCCAGUCCACAGCCCUCCCAUGGGCUUUUGGGCUGCUCCAGUCCUGGCAGGUGCACAGCGCAGGGGAAUCUGGUUUUGUCCUGGUCUCAGCUGGGGAAGUCUAGUUAAAGAAAGAAAAGGUCAGCCGGGUGCAGUGGCUCACACCUGUAAUCUCAGAACUUUGGGAGGCUGAGAUGGGCAAAUCACGAGGUCAGGAGUUUGAGACCAGCCUGGCCAACAUGGCGAAACCCUGUCUCUACUAAAAAUACAAAAAUUAGCUGGGCGUGGUGGCGGAUGCCUGUAAUCCUAGCUACUCGGGAGGCUGAGGCAGGAGAAUCGCUUGAAACCGGAAGGUGGAGGUUGCAGUGAGCUGAGGACCCACCACUGCACUCCAGCCUGGGCAACAAGAGCGAAACUCUGUCUCCAAAAAAAAAAGAUCUCAGUGGAAAUGGCCUUGAAUCUGGGGUCUCUGUAAUAUUCCAAUCACUCAAUCACUUAACAAAUAUUUAUUGAGGGCCUACUAGGUGCCACACAUUGGAAGACAGUGGAGGGUGAAACAGAGUCUGCCCUCAGGGAGCUUACAGUUUAGAUUACAGGCAAGACAGUGCUUACACAUGUAAUUCCAGAUGAGUCAAUAAUGACAGGGGUGCAGAGGCUUUGAAGCAGAAACAUAAGAUGCAAUGGAAACAUAAAACAGGGAAGCCUAAUGCAGACUAAGGGGCCUGAGGAGGGUUCCUCGAGAAAGUGAGGUUGAAGCUGAGAACCUGAGGGGUGGUUUGCAUGCAGUACAAUUGAAGGUUGAAAGGGAAGAUCUUCCAAUGCACAAAGAAUUUAUGCUGCAGAAACAUUCUCUUCCUGAAGAUACAUUUGGGAAUGUAGGUAGAAAUUAACUGUCUUGCCUUCAUAUACAGUGUAGUGGAGACCACUGUGGAUCUCCAGCUGUUUGUCUUUUCUUAGUGACAAGUCCCCAGUUUUUGCUAGGUACAUAGCUACCCAGAGAAAAAAUUAUGUGGCCACCUUACUAUGCUCCAGCCAAUGAGAUGUCAGCAGAGGUAAUAUGCGGGGCCUCUGAGAAGGCUCUUUUCUGCUACCUGGUACCUGGCUGGAGGCUGAAAAGCCAUUAGGGACCAUGAAGAGACAUGCUAAGGUUGGAGAGUCAGCGUAUUACAUGGAACCUCCUUCUCUGAUGGCCAUGGGCUGUGAUACGAGCCCUGGAUUGCCUAUUUCCCGACUUCUUUUGUAAAAGUGAGAAAUAAAGGUCAAUUUUUUAAAAAGC
Long non-coding RNA from Rhinopithecus roxellana (golden snub-nosed monkey), 2651 nucleotides. Lineage: Eukaryota; Metazoa; Chordata; Mammalia; Primates; Cercopithecidae. The record is from Ensembl.